This 2893-nucleotide unclassified non-coding RNA is filed under the name Leishmania donovani. RNAcentral's name for it is "gene:LdHU3.13.0540(CDS-product:Histidine_phosphat ase_superfamily_(branch_1)_putative)". Lineage: Eukaryota; Euglenozoa; Kinetoplastea; Trypanosomatida; Trypanosomatidae. The record is from RNAcentral.
GAAAGGCUGCGCACCCUUGUGUGCAGAGGAACCUUGUAUGCACAAACACACACACAGCGGCACUAACACUGCUGCUUGACAACACUCCGCUCCAUAGCAGAUGAAAGGACAGAGAACAAACAGGUAAACCAGACACACACGAAGGUGCCCACCAAGCGAGCCAUCACGGGCUCCGCCUUAAUCUCUUCGCGGGUGGCCUCUCCAGAGUGUUUCCUCUGCUGCGCCACCCCGCCUUCUUCGCUUUCAGACACGCUUCUCUCUCCGUUGUUUCCUCCAUCCUACCUUUGCUCAGGUGCCUCAGUGGAGUCUCUAGUAGCGCCUUCUGUCAUUCCGUCCCUGACGGGGGAUUCCGGGACGAAGCUGGCGCUGAGUUGUUUGGCAGCGGGGGCUGUGGUGGCGGGCCUCCUGCUCUUUUCGACCCUCUUGUGCGAAAACUGGAGGUGCUGGCGACUGCGACUCGGCAGAAAGUCGCGAGUGGCAGCUAUGUCUCCAGCGGCAGCUACAACGCACUCGACAACGAAACCGUAUGCUCCGAAUCGCAGCAGCAUUCCAGAGACCCGCAGCCGUGCCCCAAAUGGCACGCGUGCCUCCGCUGCGGACGAGGUGACUCUGUUGACGGCCCCACAGUUUGCGAAGUCCACAAAGGACACCCGAAGCUCCGCGCGGCAGCAGGAGGAGCAACUCAGCGAUUUGUUUGUGCUGAUUCGGCAUGGAGAGCGGCAGGAUCACGUUGAUCGUGCGUGGAAAGGCAACGCACUUCUCCCCCUCUACGACCCGCCUCUGUCAAACGCUGGCCGGAUGCAGAGCUUUGAGACGGCGCUUAGGUACUUCGCACUCCGGCAAGAGAGGAAGGUGGAGAAGCGCAUCCGCGGCACGUUCACGCUCUUUCUCGUUUCCCCAUUUCACCGGUGUAUCGAGACCGCAGCGGUUAUGAACGUCAUCGCGUUUGAGGGAAGGCUACCAAUGUACGUGGAGCCUCUCUUGUCGGAUUGGCAGCAGGCGAAGGUGUUUCGCACCGCUCCCGUACUGGGAGGCUCGUACACGACCAGCGGGAGGCCCGGCUUGCCCGGCGCAAAAGGCGAUCGGCUCCUUUUCCGACCACAGGUGGAGGCGCUUCGCGCGACGCUCAUCCCGUUCCUGAAAACGCGCGCAGCGGAAGAAACCGAGCUCCUCGCUGAAUACAACAUCGGUGCUGAGGUGGCGAGCGCAUGGCCCACGGUGGCGGAGGAGUGGCUAAACACGCACACCGCGCUUCCCGUCUGGACCUGCGCCGCGACGACGAGUGCCAUUGAGGCAAAGGCCGCCUCGCGGUCUGACGGCGCCAGUGAUGUGCGCGCGACAAGCCGAAGGGCUGCAAAGAGCUCGCAGCCUUCUCCACGAGAUGCCUCGAAUGAGGGGUAUCGCGGCUGCGGCGUGACGCACCCAGAGGGCAAGUCGGACCUGCUCCGGCGCUGCGAGCAGGUGAUGAGCACGCACUUUCUCCGGUGCGCCGCUGUCGAGUCAGAUACUAUGGUGCCUUUGGCAAUCCAGACUGCCGUGGCCGCGGAGCGAAAGACGCGUUUGCCCAAGUAUUUUCAGAUUUGGGCAGAGCGCACAGAGGAGAACCGCGAGUCUGCCGGGCCGCCGGCGCUGUUGCCACCGAUGCAUAUCAUGGCCAUCACCCACGCCGACGUUGUGUCCACGCUCUUGGAGGUGUGCUGCCCCAAGUAUCACGACAAGGGUGCCGGCUAUUCGGUGCCCUACUGCAGCGUCACGACGCUUAAGCGACACAACAACUACUACCGCAUCCCAACAGCAGAGGAGCGGCGACGACGAGAAGCGAGUGUCAGCACUCUCGCACCUGCUCAAAAUCGAGGAAAGUGUUAUGCAAAGAAGAAAGGCAACACGCCAUCAUUCAAGAAUCAGCUGACGACUCCGAUUCGGACAAGACCACUCUCGCCAUUGCCCGUGGAGUGGAAUGUGGAGGCUGUCGGCUCCAUCGACCUGCUGCGCACUCGCAUUGUGAUUCAGUACACCAAGUAGAGGAGAUGGCGUGGACCGGAAGGCGCUAGCGCACACGUGCGCCGCCGCGCUUGGAGUCACGCAGCCAUUGCUGACUUGCUCUCUGUUUCAUCCGAGCCAUGGAAUAUGUGUGCGCGCAUGUAUGUGACGGCGGCUGCACUGGAAGUGGAGAUGAUCGCAUCUUCCUCUCUCCUUCGUGUGCCUGUUUUUCUUGUCUUAUUCUGCUUGUGUGCGUCGUCUCUACAGCUCACGGCAAAAAAAAAAGGCGAGAGUGAGCGCUGCAGUUCGGGCGGCACACAGGCAAACAUGUCGGGGCAGAUGCCAUGAAAAGUACGGUACCGCUCGUUUCUCAGCACGAGCACCAUGAGAAGGCAAACCCGUGCGUACAAAACGGCCUCUCCUCCGUCUGUGCGUGUGCCUUGAAGGGUCGCAAAGAGGGGGGAGGGGGGGGGGCGGCAUUUCGAAAUUGGUGCCUCCUUGUGUGCAUAUGCGUGCAUUUCUUCGAAAGGUGCUUGCGCCGUUAUGCCUCAGCGACGAGAGGCGGCGUGAGGCAAGUAGGAGCAUCGCCAGACGACCAGAGAAAAAGUGAAGCGCAAAAGCAAACACACACGCACACAUGCGGUUGCGUGUUCGUCUCGUAUCUCUUUCUUAUUAUUAUUGCCUUUCGUUCGUUUGUCUUCAAGUCCCGCAUCUCCUUCCCUCCGCGAUUGUCGCGUCCCGCGCCGGUAUGCUCUGGUCUUCUUCUUAAGCUUUCUCUGUUCGUCUCCUCCUCUGGUAUUCCCUUUCGUGUCUCACUCGGCUCUGCACACGCCACGUUAGUUUUCUCAGGUCAGCUUCAAAGCUGUUUUUGGCUCUCUCACACCACUGACACACACAUACACACACACGCGAG